AGGGAUAUAGCUAAGUGAUAAGAGCAUUUUCCCAGCAUGCACAAGGCCCUGAGUUCAAAUUCCUAGUAUUCCUA
This 74-nucleotide transfer RNA is filed under the name Fukomys damarensis (Damara mole-rat). It matches the Rfam family "tRNA". Rfam says of the family: Transfer RNA (tRNA) molecules are approximately 80 nucleotides in length. Their secondary structure includes four short double-helical elements and three loops (D, anti-codon, and T loops). Further hydrogen bonds mediate the characteristic L-shaped molecular structure. tRNAs have two regions of fundamental functional importance: the anti-codon, which is responsible for specific mRNA codon recognition, and the 3' end, to which the tRNAs corresponding amino acid is attached (by aminoacyl-tRNA synthetases). tRNAs cope with the degeneracy of the genetic code in two manners: having more than one tRNA (with a specific anti-codon) for a particular amino acid; and 'wobble' base-pairing, i.e. permitting non-standard base-pairing at the 3rd anti-codon position. Lineage: Eukaryota; Metazoa; Chordata; Mammalia; Rodentia; Bathyergidae. The record is from Rfam by way of RNAcentral.